Molecule: long non-coding RNA, 839 nt
Filed under: Salvia miltiorrhiza (redroot sage)
Lineage: Eukaryota; Viridiplantae; Streptophyta; Magnoliopsida; Lamiales; Lamiaceae
Description: long non-coding RNA (SMIL_LNC009296)
Source: RNAcentral
AGACUAAGGGCACGAAACUCGAAAAGAGAUCGUUUUUUUUUUUAAAAAAAGGAGCCACCGCACUUGUUCAACUCUGGCGCCCACUCUUGAGCGGAUAGUGCGUUAGUCAAAAAGAGCGCAACCCCCAAGAAGAAAAACAGAAAAGCAUGCUUUGAACAAAGGAGCAUUGACUGCCUUUGUUGGGAGGAGUGCCGUCACCGGACAAAUGUUUGUGGAAACCGACAGCCACUCCUAUUGCCGGAGAAAAUCGGAAAACCAACUUCAACCCAGCUUCGGACCGGGAAAGCUGUUAAACCUGAGAACACGAGAGAAACCGCGGCGUGGAAGUCGCCAGAGAAGCGGUUAAAGAUGGGGUUAAAGCGGUGAGCGAGGCGUAUCGCCACCACCACUUUGCCGGCGGAAAAGGCUGAAGGAGGCGGGCGAUCGAGGCCGACGGCGGCCCAGAUCUCACAGCAGCUCCUUCGAACUGGGUGGGUCAACGAUCUCGCUGAACGCUGAAGGUGGGUGGGUCUCGAUGGAGAGAGUAUUCAAUAGGUCGGCGGUGGAGACUGUUGGCGGCGGAGGCGACUGUCUCGGUGGCCGGUGGGGGUGGAUUCGAUGGGAACGGCAACGGCCGACGGGGUCGCCGUUGCUGGGUGGGAAGCGGAAGGUUGGUGGGUCAACGAUCUCGCUCAAAAAUCUCCUUCUCCAUCGGAGAAAAUUUUGACGCGCAGAUCGGCCAUGGAGAGGCACCUGCUGCAGAUCGGCUAUGGAGCCGGAGCCGGAGGAGAGGCACCUGUUGCAGAUCUGCUGCAGAUCGGCUGAUGGCGCUCGGCAGAUCGGUAGAUCGGGUAAAUGCC